This 520-nucleotide small RNA is filed under the name uncultured Glomus. Its description in RNAcentral is "SSU rRNA". It matches the Rfam family "Eukaryotic small subunit ribosomal RNA", at positions 569 to 1090 of the family's 1831-position model. Lineage: Eukaryota; Fungi; Glomeromycota; Glomeromycetes; Glomerales; Glomeraceae. The record is from RNAcentral.
AGCAGCCGCGGUAAUUCCAGCUCCAAUAGCGUAUAUUAAAGUUGUUGCAGUUAAAAAGCUCGUAGUUGAAUUUCGGGGUUAGUAGGUUGGUCAUGCCUCUGGUAUGUACUGGUCUCACUGAUUCCUCCUUCCUGAUGAGCCGUAAUGCCAUUAAUUUGGUGUUGCGGGGAAUUUGGACUGUUACUUUGAAAAAAUUAGAGUGUUUAAAGCAAGCUAACGCUUGAAUACAUUAGCAUGGAAUAAUGAAAUAGGACGUUCGAUCCUAUUUUGUUGGUUUCUAGGAUUGACGUAAUGAUUAAUAGGGAUAGUUGGGGGCAUUAGUAUUCAAUUGUCAGAGGUGAAAUUCUUGGAUUUAUUGAAGACUAACUACUGCGAAAGCAUUUGCCAAGGAUGUUUUCAUUAAUCAAGAACGAAAGUUAGGGGAUCGAAGACGAUCAGAUACCGUCGUAGUCUUAACCAUAAACUAUGCCGACUAGGGAUCGGAUGAUGUUAAUUUUUAAUGUACUCAUUCGGCGCCUUA